This 1076-nucleotide long non-coding RNA is filed under the name Papio anubis (olive baboon). Its description in RNAcentral is "lncRNA (ENSPANG00000042348.1)". The record is from RNAcentral. Lineage: Eukaryota; Metazoa; Chordata; Mammalia; Primates; Cercopithecidae.
AGUAUAUAUUACUAGACCUGGAAUAGCUAGACUAAGGUAUAUGCAUAUUUUUAAAAAAAUUACUUAGAUAUAAUUCAUAUAUCAUACAGUUAACUUAAAGUACACAAUUUAAUAGUUGUUAGUAUAUUUAUAGUUGUGCAACUAUCACUGAUACAGAACGGCUGGGCUCCCAGCUAAACCCUACCCUUAAGCCUGGAAUCACGGCCUUGAAAACAGCUGACUCUGUUUUUCUGCGCAAAUGUUGCUUUUUUGGCCUGCCACGCCCCUAUCCUGUGGCCAUAAAAAAGACUUCAGCCGGCAGAUCAACACAAGCGGCUGAGCGGUGAGCAGAGAAGCAGCAACGGAGUGUUGAAGACUAGAGGUAGACGCAGCUAACUUCAGACGGUGCGGCUUCUGGGAAAGAUAAUCCUCUCUCACCAUCUACUUUCCAGUUUCCAUCCCACCAGGAGCCACCACUCAAUCAAAUCCUCCGCAUACACUACUCUUCAAUCCGUUCAUGUGACUUAAUUCUUCCUGGACGCCGGACAGGCACCCGGGUGCCGAGAGGGCAGGGCUUGGACGCUGCUGUGAAGCCCGUACAGAGCCUGUUCCCGCCAGAGAGGGGUGACUGGCCGGUUCCAGCAUUCGUUAGCUCCGGUUCCCGCACUCGCACGCUCUGCAGCCAGGAGUGGCCGGAGGCGGGCUGAGUGAAAUGAGCUGCUCCAGUUCCCGCCCACGAAGGGGGUUAAGGUGAAGGGAACAGUGCUGUCUCAUAUGGGGGCCUGUCCAGGAUAUGAAAAAGAGUGAGUUAAAAUGAGGAACUGUCAAAUUUGUGUCUUUUCCAAGACCCUGCCACCUCUCUCUUUACUUUAGGUAAAAGGAAUGUUGGCUGUUUCCCUUCACCGAGGUCUAGCCGGUCUGAACCAGAGGAGUGAUACAGUGAUUAAAGAAACCCAUUUCAACAGAGCAAGAGACCGUUCCCCCAGGUCCCUCCAACUUAGAGACAGGGUCUUGCUUGUCACCCAGGCUGGAGUGCCAUGGAGCAAUCACUGCUCACUGCAACCUUGACCUCCUGGGCUCAAGCAGUCCUCCCACUU